AUUGAACGCUGGCGGCAGGCCUAACACAUGCAAGUCGAGCGGUAACACAGGGAGCUUGCUCCUGGGUGACGAGCGGCGGACGGGUGAGUAAUGUCUGGGAAACUGCCUGAUGGAGGGGGAUAACUACUGGAAACGGUAGCUAAUACCGCAUAACGUCGCAAGACCAAAGAGGGGGACCUUCGGGCCUCUUGCCAUCAGAUGUGCCCAGAUGGGAUUAGCUAGUAGGUGGGGUAACGGCUCACCUAGGCGACGAUCCCUAGCUGGUCUGAGAGGAUAACCAGCCACACUGGAACUGAGACACGGUCCAGAUUCCUACGGGAGGCAGCAGUGGGGAAUAUUGCACAACGGGCGCAAGCCUGAUGCAGCCAUGCCGCGUGUAUGAAGAAGGCCUUCGGGUUGUAAAGUACUUUCAGCGGGGAGGAAGGUGUUGAGGUUAAUAACCUCAGCAAUUGACGUUACCCGCAGAAGAAGCACCGGCUAACUCCGUGCCAGCCGCCGCGGUAA
Molecule: ribosomal RNA, 504 nt
Filed under: uncultured bacterium
Lineage: Bacteria
Description: partial 16S ribosomal RNA
Rfam family: Bacterial small subunit ribosomal RNA
Source: RNAcentral